UCAGAGGAAUUUGUCUAUUUAUUGUCAUUACUCAUUUAUUUUAACUUUUUUUUAUUUUCUAUACCGCCGUCUUAAGAUGCAACUUCAAACUUUUGUCUCAAGCUUUUUUGGUAAGUCAGGUCAAGGUGGAGAUUAUAAGAAAGUUUAGAUUAAUUAUUUAUAAAUAUUAUUUAAAGUCAGUUUUCUAAAGAUAACUUAAAUAAAGAUUUGAAAGUAGUCUUUAAUUAAAAAUUAAAGACGAACUUGCCACAGGUGUACAUAUCGCCCGUCACCCUCGUCUAAAGAUGAGGUAAGUCGUAACAUAGUUAGUAUACUGGAAAGUGUACUAAGGGGGAUUAAAAGCUUCAGCGUUUCAUUUACACAGAAAAGAGUGGUUAUUCAAUUUUCAUAAAUUUUCCUUAUUUAAAUCACUAUUUAUUUUCUUUAAUUUUAUCCUUUUUUUAAACAACCGUAAGGGAUAAUGAAAUCGACUCUAAGAAACUUUUAAUGUACCUUUUGUAUCAGGGUGGGUCAAAAUUAUUAUUUGAAAAAUAUUAUCCCGAAAUAAAAUGAGCUACUCCAUUUAUUGUAUUUUAUAGCAAAAAAAUAGUAAAAAUUUAGUAGAAGUGAAAUUCUAUUCGUAUUUUUUGAUAUCUGGUUUUUUCAAAGAGUAUGAUUACUAAAAUCUAAAAAGGGACAAUCUUUUUUAGAUAUUUGUCUUUUCAUUUAUAAACCUAUCAAGGAUUAGAAGUGUCCUUUUGUGUAAAAACUUUUCUUAUUAUAGUCGGAUAAAUUCUUCUAUGGAACUUUAUUCCUUUUUUAGGGACAAUGAUUCAAUCAGUAAAGAGCUAAUUCAAUUAUUCUUUUUAAUUUCUUAAAAUGGUUUCUCUAGUUUAUUUUCAUUAACUCGGCUAAGUUUUCUGACUGUUUACCAAAAACAUUUCUGAAUGAUUUUUAUAUUCAGUAAGACCUGCUCAAUGAUGUUUUUCAAUAGCCGCAACUUAUGUGCUAAGGUAGCAUAAUCAUUUGCCUUAUAAUUUAAGGCUAGUAUGAAAGGUUUAACAUGAUAACUUCUUUGUAAAUUUAACUCCUAGAAUUUUACUUAUAAGUAAAAAGGCUUAUAUUUAGAAGGGGGACGACAAGACCCUAACGAGCUUCACUUCUUUAGUUGAACUGGGGUGGUAAAAAACUAAAUCUUUUUAUUUCAUUUAUACUUAUCCUUAUAAUAAGAUUUUCAAGUUACCGUAGGGAUAACAGCAUAAUUUUUUUCUAGAGACCUUAUCUAAAAAAAAGAUUGUGACCUC
Molecule: ribosomal RNA, 1283 nt
Filed under: Myrmekiaphila coreyi
Lineage: Eukaryota; Metazoa; Arthropoda; Arachnida; Araneae; Euctenizidae
Description: partial 16S large subunit ribosomal RNA
Source: RNAcentral